UACGUAGGGUGCAAGCGUUGUCCGGAAUUAUUGGGCGUAAAGAGCUCGUAGGCGGUCUGUCGCGUCGGCUGUGAAAACCCGGAGCUCAACUCCGGGCCUGCAGUCGAUACGGGCAAACUGGAGUGUUGCAGGGGAGACUGGAACUCCUGGUGUAGCGGUGAAAUGCGCAGAUAUCAGGAGGAACACCGGUGGCGAAGGCGGGUCUCUGGGCAACAACUGACGCUGAGGAGCGAAAGCGUGGGGAGCGAACAGG
This 253-nucleotide ribosomal RNA is filed under the name uncultured bacterium. Its description in RNAcentral is "partial 16S ribosomal RNA". It matches the Rfam family "Bacterial small subunit ribosomal RNA", at positions 524 to 776 of the family's 1533-position model. The record is from RNAcentral.